Small nuclear RNA from Myotis daubentonii (Daubenton's bat), 196 nucleotides. RefSeq annotates it as U2 spliceosomal RNA. The record is from RefSeq and is a predicted model, not a curated record. The transcript has a single exon. NCBI's taxonomy places the organism in Eukaryota, Metazoa, Chordata, Mammalia, Chiroptera, Vespertilionidae.
AUCGCUUCUCGGCCUUUUGGCUAAGAUCAAGUGUAGUAUCUGUUCUUAUCAGUUUAAAAAAUCCUUUGGGGAUAAAAAAUUGAGCUAUCAGUGAGACUUUAUUAUUUCCAGUGUAUAUAAGCCUGUAUCUCUGCACUGUGUAUUUUAUAUUCAUUUGUACGUGUAUGCACAUUUUACAUAUAUGUAUAUAUAUUUU